Molecule: long non-coding RNA, 949 nt
Filed under: Gopherus agassizii (Agassiz's desert tortoise)
Lineage: Eukaryota; Metazoa; Chordata; Testudines; Testudinidae
Description: lncRNA (ENSGAGG00000025243.1)
Source: RNAcentral
GGCUCUCUGGAAAAGCCUCCCUUACUGUGUAGGUGGAGAGCCCAUAACAGCACUGUGGUGAGUGUUGAGCACUUCAUGUUCAGUUCAGAUUCAUUCAUUCUGAGCGGCUCCUCGGACAGAAGCGCCAGACUGUGGACCCCAGAUGGGAAAUUUGUGGGAACCUUUGGGCAGGAAAAGAGAUGGGACUUGAAAAAUCCAUCAACAUUUGCCCACCCCAAGGAUCCCUGGAGUGAGAGAAGAGAAAUCAGGAAAAAACGAACGCCAACCAAGCAGCCGGCAUAUACUGAUGGGCGGCUCUUCAGUUCAAGGGAGCUUGUCAGAAAUGUGGUGGGAGAGACAGAAGAGAAGGUAAACCAGGAGAUCAAUGGGGGAAGCGCAAUGGAGGAGAAAGAGCAACUGCAGGAGUUCCAAUUACCAAGAGCGGAUGGUGCCCAUCCUUCCACAUCCCCCAGCCAGAUUUCUGCCGCGGAUGCAGUGCAAAGCAGCCUGACAACUCCACAAGUGUUCACCGGUACCUCAAAUCAAAGAAAACACGAGUGCCAGAGCCUUUUCAGACACCAUCUGGAAAAUGACCUGGUGAAAAGAAUUACAGGAAGGAAAGCCCGUCGGCGUGUGUUUGGGGCUAUCAGUGCUAACAAAUUCAACCGGUUUGGGACACUCUGUUCACCUUUUCAUGCACUAGUAACUCCGGUAAGCAUCCUUCUCUUCGGGUAGUUUUAGAUUAAAUACAAACCAGCCCUCCAGCUGCCAAAGCCCAUCCUGCCAAUAGCCAUUCCAACAGCAUUUUCAGAAUCAGCCAAUCAAUGACUCCUGGCGAACAAGCUGGCUGUUUUCAUUAUAUUUUCCUUGCGGCUUUUCCUGUAAGGGUUAAUAUUUUCUCCAUAAACUUCCCUACAAAAGGAUUAAGCAAGUAAGUAAAUCAGCUAGCUGUUUGUUAAUGGGUUAACUU